Molecule: long non-coding RNA, 869 nt
Organism: Eriocheir sinensis (Chinese mitten crab)
Lineage: Eukaryota; Metazoa; Arthropoda; Malacostraca; Decapoda; Varunidae
Exons: 2
Source: RefSeq, a predicted model, not a curated record
CAUCUUCUUUCUCACCGCCUUCCUCCAUUGGGGUAUAUCCCCAACAAAAUACCGAAAAAAAAAAGAAAAAAAAACUUGGGUGGGACAGAUCCCGACAAGCAGUCGACAAAAGACACGGUACCAUGUCGAAAUUCAUGUAUGUAUUCAGGAUGGGAUGUCUCAUGAUCUUGGGAUGUCUCAUGACACCACACACGGUUCUAACACGCCCCGCCCCCAGACGACACCCAAGAAGAGUGCUGUGCUUUACAAGAGAAACACUCCAGACGAAGGAGAAGAACGUUUGAAGACACGGGUGCCGUUGCGAAGGCAAGGCAAUACUCCGUACCCAAACAGAAAACACUGCUGGCGCCUGGCGAGCCACUCGCGGCGCGGCACAAGCGGAAACGUGUAGGUGUGUUCCCCCGGCCUGACCCUGGCCCUGACCCUGACCCCACCUGCACGUGACCGCCUGCCGGCGGGCCAGGGCUGUGUUGUGGUGACCACCCCUGCUGCACACCAGCCCAACAACAACAGCCACGAACACCCUGUACUACCGGAGCUUGGAGGCCGUAGUCCCGUGGCCUGACCAGCCCCCAAAACGCGGAGGAGGAGGAUAUUUUCUGAGGGUUUCCCCAGGUACCCAUUUAUCGACCAGCCCGAGAAGGAGGAUGAACAGUUGGGUGAGCUGCACGCUGACUGCCCGGGCUGGGAUUCGAACCCAGGCACGCUGACCACUAGACUACGGAGACCAAUAGUUUUGGUAUAUUUACCCCCCUGAAGUUAUUUGAGAUUUUAGAUGCAUUAUUUUCUGGAUGUUGAUUGUUUAAAAGUUCAGGUUUUAUAUGAAUUAAACAAAUAAACUGCCUAAUAUUUUUGCUGUUAUAGACUGA